Molecule: ribosomal RNA, 253 nt
Filed under: uncultured bacterium
Lineage: Bacteria
Description: partial 16S ribosomal RNA
Rfam family: Bacterial small subunit ribosomal RNA
Source: RNAcentral
UACGGAAGGUGCGAGCGUUAAUCGGAAUUACUGGGCGUAAAGCGCGCGUAGGCGGUUUGUUAAGUCAGCUGUGAAAGCCCCGGGCUCAACCUGGGAACUGCAGUUGAUACUGUCCGACUAGAGUACGAGAGAGGGAGGUAGAAUUCCAUGUGUAGCGGUGAAAUGCGUAGAUAUAUGGAGGAAUACCAGUGGCGAAGGCGACUUCCUGGCCUGUUCUUGACGCUGAGGCGCGAAAGCUAGGGGAGCAAACGGG